UGAGUAACCUGCCCUUAACUCUGGGAUAAGCCUGGGAAACUGGGUCUAAUACCGGAUAUGACUCCUCAUCGCAUGGUGGAGGGUGGAAAGCUUUUUGUGGUUUUGGAUGGACUCGCGGCCUAUCAGCUUGUUGGUGAGGUAAUGGCUUACCAAGGCGACGACGGGUAGCCGGCCUGAGAGGGUGACCGGCCACACUGGGACUGAGACACGGCCCAGACUCCUACGGGAGGCAG
This 233-nucleotide ribosomal RNA is filed under the name uncultured bacterium. RNAcentral describes it as "partial 16S ribosomal RNA". It matches the Rfam family "Bacterial small subunit ribosomal RNA", at positions 118 to 351 of the family's 1533-position model. The record is from RNAcentral.